RNAcentral lists this ribosomal RNA (253 nucleotides) under uncultured prokaryote. RNAcentral's name for it is "partial 16S ribosomal RNA". It matches the Rfam family "Bacterial small subunit ribosomal RNA", at positions 525 to 777 of the family's 1533-position model. The record is from RNAcentral.
ACAGAGGGGGCAAGCGUUGCUCGGAAUCACUGGGCGUAAAGGGCGCGUAGGCGGGAUGGCAAGUCGGUCGUGAAAUCUCUCGGCUCAACCGAGAAACGUCGGCCGAUACUGCCGUUCUUGAGGGAUGCGGAGGAGACUGGAAUUCCCGGUGUAGCGGUGAAAUGUGUAGAGAUCGGGAGGAACACCGGUGGCGAAGGCGGUCUGCUGGGCAGUUUCUGACACUGAUGCGCGACAGCGUGGGGAGCAAACAGGA